Molecule: RNase P RNA, 379 nt
Filed under: Actinomycetota bacterium
Lineage: Bacteria; Bacillati; Actinomycetota
Description: Actinobacteria bacterium RNase P RNA component class A
Rfam family: Bacterial RNase P class A
About the family: Ribonuclease P (RNase P) is a ubiquitous endoribonuclease, found in archaea, bacteria and eukarya as well as chloroplasts and mitochondria. Its best characterised activity is the generation of mature 5'-ends of tRNAs by cleaving the 5'-leader elements of precursor-tRNAs.
Source: RNAcentral
UGAGUCGGUCGGGUGACCGCGGGUCGGGAUUGCUUCGGCAUGAACCGGUCUGAGGAAGGUCGGGGCUCCACAGGACAUGGUGCUGGCUAACAGCCAGUUGGGGUGACCCACAGGAAAGUGCCACAGAGAACAGACCGCCGAUGGCCCGGUUCGCCGGGCACAGGUAAGGGUGAAACGGUGCGGUAAGAGCGCACCAGCAUCCGGGGCGACCCGGAUGGCUAGGCAAACCCCACCAGGAGCAAGGCCGCAUGUCGGGUAUGGGCGGUCCGCCCCGUCAGUCCCCCGGGACAGACAAUCCGCUGGUAGGCCGCAUAGAUGGAUGGUCACACAAGCGCCGGGAGGCGCCGGACAGAACCCCGCCUAUAGACCGGCUCACCAU